Cyprinus carpio carpio is the source of this 2533-nucleotide long non-coding RNA. Lineage: Eukaryota; Metazoa; Chordata; Actinopteri; Cypriniformes; Cyprinidae. The record is from Ensembl.
AACAACUUGCAAGCUUGGAGGAUAAGCGAAUAGAAUAGACUUUUGUGCGCCAUCAUUGCAUAUCUGGUUGAUUACGAUUCUCAAAUAUAUUUUAUGCUUUAAAAAAAAACUGACACACAUCACCAUUGAAUAGUUUGUGACACUCUGAGCGGGCUUUAUCCUCAAAUCAAAAGUUUUUAUUUUAUUUUUUAAAUAAGUCGUAGCCAAUCAGACGUCUAUAACAAUUUCGGCCAAUCACAAUUGGGCCACAGUCCGUUACACUGGCGCGAAAUGUAUGAGAAGAUGGCGAACGUCAAGGCAGCAGGAGCUAACGUUAGCGCUCACCAAGAAAAAAAAAACACUUUAGAAAGUUCUGAUGACGAAACAGACAUUGAGAUGAAGCGACAAUAUGAAAAAGCAAAAAGACAAAAAAAAGUUGCAAAAGAGAGGAUCCUCACUCAGUUGAAGGAUACACUGAGGAAACCACUCCACUCCACUCCAUGCAGAACCAAUCCAUUACAUAGUGAGGAGGAAGUUGAAUCCGAAACGGUGGACACAAACGUGGAUUUGUUCAAUUACCCAGGGAAUUCUCAAUCAACCAGACAAAAAAAGGUUGGAAAGGAGAGGGUCCUCACUCAGCUGAAGGAUACACUGAGGAAACCACUCCACUCUGAUCCACGCAGAACCAACCCGUUACAUAGUGAGGAGGAAGUUCAAGCCGAAACCGUGGACACAAAUGUGGAUUUGUUCGAUUACCCAGAGAAUUUUCAACCAACCGAUACCUUAGAUGCUGCUGAGGCAAGUGGAGAGAGCGUGGAACAGCCAUUAUUUGUCAGUGGUGAAGUGUUGAAAGCUUUGAAAGGUACAGUAUAAAAUACCUGAAAUGAGUUGUGCUAAGGGAUGCUAUGUGGAUAAUUAUGUCUUAAAUAUACUAUAUAUACAAUAAUACAUUUGUGAUUGUAAUUUUCUAUUGACUUGAUUUGUAUUUAAAGCAGUAAAAAGUGGUUGUACUGUAUUUCAUUUCUUUAGAUAGAUUCUGAGCAUUAAGCAUUUACAGUCUUUGUAAUCAUUCUAAGCAGCCAUCUUUCUUCAUAACUUUUUUAAUAGAAAUCUUUUCGACACCUCUAGAAAUCUCAACUGUGGCGUUUGGCAUCUUGUUCCUACCCCACUUACGAUGUGUUUUUACACGUAUUACCUGUGCUGUGCAUCAGGAGUGGAGCGGUACAUAUAUUCGUAUUGAACCAAUUUGGUACAAGGGUCACGGUUUUGGUGCACGCAUUUACACAGAAAAUACACUGCAAAGCGGAACUAUUGUUAGAUACGCAUGUUCUUUGGGGACACAUAAUAUGUGACGCGCGUCCUAUUCGCUUUGGACUAAUGUCAAACUAGACGCAAAUUUUAAGCAUUUCUUUGUUUGCGUUGAUUACAAUGCUGGAGUGUGUGUGUGCUCGCACGCGCGGUAGAGAGAGAAAGAUAUAGUGUGUUCACUGUAGCACAAGAGAGAUCGAGACAGAGAAGCAAUUUGUCCUCGAGUGUCACAAAUACAGUUCAAAAUUCCCACCUUAGUGCAGUGUGUCAAGGAACUAAUAUCCUCAAUGAACACAGGGAUCGAUACAGCAAGCACAAGCUCAGGGUCCUCCAGCUCAGCCCAAGAGAUGAUUUCUCUGGGCAACAUGGCUGUCCAAGUCAACAAAACCUGCUUUAGGAGAUUGAAUAGGAGCAGAAUGUCCCUGUUCACUCAAGAGUUAGCUGUUUUGUUGUUUGGGAGGGAGGUUCUGGGUUCAUCUAGCCUCACUGGGAAUAGGUCCCAAAAAAAGAAAGGCUGAACCCAGAAAAAAUGAAUGCACUUAUCGACACUGUCAUAUCUGAGUUUCCGGGCACGUCACAGUCCGAGGUUAGAGCAGUAAUACGGCGAAAGUGCAAUAACGAAAGUUUUGUUUCAAAAAAAAAAAACACUGUAAAGGUAAUUUUUUGUUGUUGUUGGGAAAGGAAUGUGAAAGUAAAGAAGAAAUUUGUGUUUUGUUCAUAUAAGAUACGUACAGUAAUCUGUAGUUUAAUCAUUUUAUUAAAGGGUUAGUUCACCCAAAAAUCGAAAAGUUCUUUGUAUUUAGUCACCCGCGUGUUGUUCUAAACCCUUAAGAUUCCAUUAACCAUCGCAUCACAAAAUAUUAUAUUUAUGAUGGAAUCUGAGCGCUGGAUAAGUCUUCCAUUGACUUCCAAGGGGCUUAAACUUGCUCGAUCAGAAAUCGUAUUAAGACAUUGUUUGAAAUUGUCUAAGUGACUCCAGUGGCUCAACCAUCCAUUUAUCAAGCGACGAGAAUAGUUUUUUUUGUGCCAAAAACAAACAAAAAUAACGAAUUUAUUCCAAUAUCCAUUUACUCGUGUUGUGCUUGAAAGUUGUUUACGUAGUGUAUCUGCGCGAGCUUCUGGGUUCUACGUCACCAGGCAUCACACACAUGACCUGCGUUGGCCAAUAGUGAGCCUGUAUGGUGACGUAGAACCCAGAAGCGCUGCGCAGAUAGACUACGUAAACAACUUUGAAGCACAACACUAG